Molecule: non-coding RNA, 126 nt
Filed under: Chromera velia
Lineage: Eukaryota; Chromeraceae
Source: RNAcentral
AAUGAAAGGAAAGGAAAGGAAAGGAGGAGGGGUUCCCAGGGACCUGUAUCGUAUACUUGCUUGCUUGUCGGCUUGCUUUUUGUCUGUCUAUCUUUCCUGUUGUUCUCUUUCUUCUUGUUCUUGCUG